This 490-nucleotide ribosomal RNA is filed under the name uncultured bacterium. Its description in RNAcentral is "partial 16S ribosomal RNA". It matches the Rfam family "Bacterial small subunit ribosomal RNA", at positions 30 to 507 of the family's 1533-position model. The record is from RNAcentral.
AUUGAACGCUGGCGGCAGGCCUAACACAUGCAAGUCGAACGGUAACAGGAAGCAGCUUGCUGCUUUGCUGACGAGUGGCGGACGGGUGAGUAAUGUCUGGGAAACUGCCCGAUGGAGGGGGAUAACUACUGGAAACGGUAGCUAAUACCGCAUAACGUCGCAAGACCAAAGCGGGGGCCCUUGGGGCCUCUUGCCAUCGAAUUUGCCCGGAUGGGUUUCGCUAGUAGGGGGGGUAACGGCUCACCUAGGCGACGAUCCCUAGCGGGUCUGGGAGGAUGACCAGCCACACUGGAACUGAGACACGGUCCAGACUCCUAAGGGAGGCAGCAGUGGGGAAUAUUGCACAAUGGGCGCAAGCCUGAUGCAGCCAUGCCGCGUGUAUGAAGAAGGCCUUCGGGUUGUAAAGUACUUUCAGCGGGGAGGAAGGGAGUAAAGUUAAUACCUUUGCUCAUUGACGUUACCCGCAGAAGAAGCACCGGCUAACUCCGUG